RNAcentral lists this unclassified non-coding RNA (295 nucleotides) under uncultured Ascomycota. RNAcentral's name for it is "sequence contains ITS1". The stretch from base 1 to 105 matches the Rfam family "5.8S ribosomal RNA", at positions 50 to 154 of the family's 154-position model. The record is from RNAcentral. Lineage: Eukaryota; Fungi; Ascomycota.
GAAAUGCGAUAAGUAAUGUGAAUUGCAGAAUUUAGUGAAUCAUCGAAUCUUUGAACGCACAUUGCGCCCCUUGGCAUUCCGAGGGGCACACCUGUUCGAGCGCCGUUUAAACACCUAAGGCUCAGCCUUGCGAUGGCCUCGGUCCCGCCUAUUCUUAGGGGGGACCCGGCCGAAACUUCCUGGCGUCGUCACGCUGUCGGCAAUGCGCAAAAGCAUGAGCCCGAUUAGCGAGGUCGACCGCCCGUUUAAUCGAACGUUUGGCCUCGGAUCAGGUGGGGAUACCCGCUGAACUUAA